AAGUAGCAUUUAAUGCAAAAAUAGCCAAUAGGAAAGCAAUAGUCAUGUUUCUAAUCCUCCAAUCUACCAACAAAAGAAUUAUACCAUUUGAUCCCUUUAUCAACCAAAAAAUUGUACGCCUUAUAUACUGCUUUUGGGUAACCCUUCUCAACAACUAAGAGAUCCAUUCGCUGAACAAGGGGACUAGUUGAAGUACGGAUCCUCCCAAUAUUGGGAGGAUCCGUACUUCAAUUGAGCUAAUGACAAAUCAUUUCACCAUUUUAGUUGGAACUUUAGGCGGUUCUCGAAAAAAGAUAGCGAAAAAAAAUUAUUCCUAAGAGUUUGAGACUAAAAGGAAUGUAUAAACCAAUGCUUCCAUAGAUUCGAUCGUGGUUUACAAUUAUAGCUUCCAUACCUGUUUAUUUGGGAUCGUCUCCCGGAUAAAUAAAGAACAAGAGUCAAAGAAAAGGCAGUGAUUCAAAUCUAGAUUUAUCUGGUACCCCCCAUCUAAAAAUCACAAAAAGAAAAUAAAAAAGAAAAGUAACAAGUAACAAAACAUAUUGUAUCAGACUACUUGUCUUCUUGUAGUUGGAUCUCCAAGCUUUU
This 585-nucleotide long non-coding RNA is filed under the name Malus domestica (apple). Its description in RNAcentral is "long non-coding RNA (MDOM_LNC011624)". Lineage: Eukaryota; Viridiplantae; Streptophyta; Magnoliopsida; Rosales; Rosaceae. The record is from RNAcentral.